Molecule: non-coding RNA, 32 nt
Filed under: Schistosoma mattheei
Lineage: Eukaryota; Metazoa; Platyhelminthes; Trematoda; Strigeidida; Schistosomatidae
Source: RNAcentral
AUCUAGCUGACGAGUCCCAAACGGGACGAAAC